AUGAAACCCCGACGUAAGCGAAAGAAAAUGGAUAUUGUUGAUUGUCCUUCUCGCGAUCCCUCACUUCACGAGCUCGGGGAAGAUGCUGCCCUCGUCUCUACAAGUGAAGAUGUGAGGCCUUUCACUAAAAGGAAGGUGGAUACUCUAAACGAAGAGGAUGAUUCUAGUCCCAUUAGAUUGGAUGGACCUAUCCACAUAUCUGACCUUGGUAGUGUGGAUCUCGAUGGCAUACUUAGUGGAGAGGUUGAUCAUGGUCUAGGUGAUCUAGAUAAUUUAAAUGUGGAUGAUUAUGGUGUAUAA
RNAcentral lists this ribosomal RNA (300 nucleotides) under Triticum aestivum (bread wheat). Its description in RNAcentral is "partial small subunit ribosomal RNA". The record is from RNAcentral. Lineage: Eukaryota; Viridiplantae; Streptophyta; Magnoliopsida; Poales; Poaceae.